UACGAAGGGGGCUAGCGUUGUCGCGAAUCACUGGGCGUAAAGGGUGCGUAGGCGGGUCUUUUAAGUCAGGGGUGAAAUCCUGGAGCUCAACUCCAGAACUGCCUUUGAUACUGAAGAUCUUGAGUUCGGGAGAGGUGAGUGGAACUGCGAGUGUAGAGGUGAAAUUCGUAGAUAUUCGCAAGAACACCAGUGGCGAAGGCGGCUCACUGGCCCGAUACUGACGCUGAGGCACGAAAGCGUGGGGGAGCAAACAGG
This 255-nucleotide ribosomal RNA is filed under the name uncultured bacterium. Its description in RNAcentral is "partial 16S ribosomal RNA". It matches the Rfam family "Bacterial small subunit ribosomal RNA", at positions 524 to 776 of the family's 1533-position model. The record is from RNAcentral.